Molecule: ribosomal RNA, 468 nt
Filed under: uncultured bacterium
Lineage: Bacteria
Description: partial 16S ribosomal RNA
Rfam family: Bacterial small subunit ribosomal RNA
Source: RNAcentral
AACGAACGCUGGCGGCGUGCUUAACACAUGCAAGUCGAACGGAAAGGCCCUGCUUUUGUGGGGUGCUCGAGUGGCGAACGGGUAAGUAACACGUGAGUAACCUGCCCUUGACUUUGGGAUAACUUCAGGAAACUGGGGCUAAUCCCGGAUAAGAGCUCCUGCUGCAUGGUGGGGGUUGGAAAGUUUCGGCGGUUGGGAAUGGACUCGCGUCUUAUCAGCUUGUUGGUUGGGUAGUGGAUUACCAAGGCUUUGACCGGUAGCCGGGCUGAGAGGGUGACCGGCCACGUUGGGACUGAGAUACGGCCCAGACUCCUACGGGAGGCAGGGGUGGGGAAUAUUGUACAAGGGGCGGAAGGCUAAUGCAGCAACGCCGCGUGCGGGAUGAGGGCAUUCGGGUUGGAUUCCGCUUUCGCCUGUGACGAAGCGUGAGUGACGGUAAUGGGUAAAGAAGCACCGGCUAACUACGUG